AAGAUAUUAGUAAAACUAUUACAUAACUUUGUCGAAGUUAAUUCAUAGGUUAAAUCCCUGUAUAUCUUC
Molecule: transfer RNA, 69 nt
Filed under: Eulemur macaco macaco
Lineage: Eukaryota; Metazoa; Chordata; Mammalia; Primates; Lemuridae
Description: tRNA-Asp
Rfam family: tRNA
About the family: Transfer RNA (tRNA) molecules are approximately 80 nucleotides in length.
Source: RNAcentral